RNAcentral lists this ribosomal RNA (465 nucleotides) under uncultured bacterium. RNAcentral's name for it is "partial 16S ribosomal RNA". It matches the Rfam family "Bacterial small subunit ribosomal RNA", at positions 339 to 795 of the family's 1533-position model. The record is from RNAcentral.
CUACGGGCCGCAGCAGUGAGGAAUUUUGCGCAAUGGGGGCAACCCUGACGCAGCAACGCCGCGUGAGUGAAGAAGGCCUUUGGGUCGUAAAGCUCUGUCAACAGGGAAGAAGUUACUUCAUAUUAAUAGUAUGUAGUAUUGACGGUACCUGUGGAGGAAGCAUCGGCUAACUCCGUGCCAGCAGCCGCGGUAAUACGGGGGAUGCAAGCGUUAUUCGGAAUCAUUGGGCGUAAAGGGCACGCAGGCGGCUCUGUCAGUCAGAUGUGAAAGCCCGGGGCUCAACCCCGGACGUGCAUUUGAAACAGCAGAGCUUGAGUACGGUAGAGGAAAGCGGAAUUCCUGGUGUAGAGAUGAAAUUCGUAGAUAUCAGGAGGAACACCGGUGGCGAAGGCGGCUUUCUGGACCGAAACUGACGCUGAGGUGCGAAGGCGUGGGUAGCGAACAGGAUUAGAUACCCUCGUAGUC